RNAcentral lists this ribosomal RNA (437 nucleotides) under uncultured bacterium. Its description in RNAcentral is "partial 16S ribosomal RNA". It matches the Rfam family "Bacterial small subunit ribosomal RNA", at positions 28 to 507 of the family's 1533-position model. The record is from RNAcentral.
GAUGAACGCUGGCGGCAUGCUUAACACAUGCAGGUCGGACGGGAAGUGGUGUUUCCAGUGGCGGGCGGGUGAGGAACGCGUAAGAACCUGCCCUGGGUAGGGGAACAACAACUGGAAACGGUUGCUAAGACACCGUAGGCAGAGGAGCAAAAGGAGGAAUCCGCCCGAGGGGGGGCUUGCGUCUGAUUGGCUAGUUGGUGUGGUAGUAGCUUACCAAGGCGAUGAUCAGGGGGGCGUCCGAGGGGAUGAUCCGCCACACUGGGGCUGAGACGCGGCCCCGCCUCCUGCGGGAGGCAGUGGUGGGGAAUUUUCCGCAAUGGGCGGCAGCCUGCAGGAGCACUGCCGCGUGGAGGUAGAAGGCCCGGGGGUCGUGAACUUCUUUUCUCGGAGAAGAGACAAUGACGGUAUCUGAGGAAUAAGCAUCGGCUAACUCUGUG